This is a non-coding RNA of Mesocricetus auratus (golden hamster), 73 nucleotides long. The record is from Rfam. Lineage: Eukaryota; Metazoa; Chordata; Mammalia; Rodentia; Cricetidae.
CUGGAGAUGGCUCAGUGAUUAAGAGCACUGGCUGCUCUUCCAGAGGUCCUGAGUUCAAUUCUCAGCAACCACA